This 301-nucleotide ribosomal RNA is filed under the name uncultured bacterium. RNAcentral describes it as "partial 16S ribosomal RNA". It matches the Rfam family "Bacterial small subunit ribosomal RNA", at positions 509 to 807 of the family's 1533-position model. The record is from RNAcentral.
CAGUCGCCGCGGUAAUACGAAGGGGGCUAGCGUUGCUCGGAAUUACUGGGCGUAAAGGGCGCGUAGGCGGACAGUUAAGUUGGGGGUGAAAGCCCGGGGCUCAACCUCGGAAUUGCCUUCAAUACUGGCUGUCUUGAGUAUGAGAGAGGUGUGUGGAACUCCGAGUGUAGAGGUGAAAUUCGUAGAUAUUCGGAAGAACACCAGUGGCGAAGGCGACACACUGGCUCAUUACUGACGCUGAGGCGCGAAAGCGUGGGGAGCAAACAGGAUUAGAUACCCCCGUAGUCCCUGUCUCUUAUAC